Long non-coding RNA from Amblyraja radiata (thorny skate), 497 nucleotides. RefSeq lists it as uncharacterized. NCBI's taxonomy places the organism in Eukaryota, Metazoa, Chordata, Chondrichthyes, Rajiformes, Rajidae. The record is from RefSeq and is a predicted model, not a curated record. The transcript has 3 exons.
GGUUGCGUGUAAUUACCAACAGCCAUGGCCAGGGUGGGCUCCGGGAGCUAGUGGUCUUCAGCGCGGCUCGUCACAUUGCACUUCACAUUGCACUGACCAUAGCCGGCAGCUUAUGUAGAGCGAGAGAGAGCGCCAGGGAGUUGUUUCUGGUGAAGAGCAUUAGCAGCGGCGGCCGUGCACCGCUCCUCCCUUUCCAGUCCUACUUGCAUAAACUACUAGCGCCCGGAGGAAGAGGACGCCACCCCUUGGUGUCAGCGUUGCAAAGAGGUGAUCACAUCUGUCGGAUGCAGAUGUGCAGGGCAGUGAGCCGCUGACUGAGACUUGCACCGGGCAGAGUGUGGAAGACGUCGCUGUACCUGGCAGUCAACAGUUUAUGACAGUUAGCAAGAAUCCUGGGGCUACGACAUGUAUUGAAGCUGAAUGAGGUUUGCUCCACAUCACCUACAGUCAGAUCUAUGGAAGAAAGCAUGUGAGAAAAGGUAAAGAUUGAAAACUGG